CUCAACUCCUCGUUCAAUUCAAAAAUGAAAUUUGGACCGAAAACUCAGCGUGUGAAUGAAAUUUGAAGAGUGUGAAGAUGGCGAUGGAAGUGGAGCAGAAUCAGAAUCAUCAAUUAGGGUUUCCCUUCUGGAAACCGCUCCGUCACAGGUUCGGGCCCGAAUCUCCUUUCUUCGCUCCCGGCAACCUCGAACGGGAACUUCUUGCCAAACAGCUUGCUUUGGAAUUAACAGAAGAAAAGCAACAGCUUGAGAAAUGGAUGCAAGAGGAAGAAGGAAGGUACUGAUCCUUAUAUUGUUGGUUUCAUAUUGUUUACAAUACGUGAGAUUCAAAUCAAUGCUGGUACAUGAUUUUCAAAUGUCGGGCUUCAAGUUCAUGAUGGAUUGGCUAAAAUACAUCCAAGUAUAAAUCAACCAAACACUCCCUAA
Long non-coding RNA from Glycine soja, 426 nucleotides. RefSeq lists it as uncharacterized. Lineage: Eukaryota; Viridiplantae; Streptophyta; Magnoliopsida; Fabales; Fabaceae. The transcript is spliced from 2 exons. The record is from RefSeq and is a predicted model, not a curated record.